RNAcentral lists this ribosomal RNA (404 nucleotides) under uncultured prokaryote. RNAcentral describes it as "bacterial SSU rRNA". It matches the Rfam family "Bacterial small subunit ribosomal RNA", at positions 355 to 776 of the family's 1533-position model. The record is from RNAcentral. RNAcentral also lists the same sequence under 1 other name.
UGGGGAAUAUUGCACAAUGGGCGAAAGCCUGAUGCAGCGACGCCGCGUGAGCGAAGAAGUAUUUCGGUAUGUAAAGCUCUAUCAGCAGGGAAGAUAAUGACGGUACCUGACUAAGAAGCACCGGCUAAAUACGUGCCAGCAGCCGCGGUAAUACGUAUGGUGCAAGCGUUAUCCGGAUUUACUGGGUGUAAAGGGAGCGCAGGCGGUACGGCAAGUCUGAUGUGAAAGCCCGGGGCUCAACCCCGGUACUGCAUUGGAAACUGUCGAACUAGAGUGUCGGAGGGGUAAGCGGAAUUCCUAGUGUAGCGGUGAAAUGCGUAGAUAUUAGGAGGAACACCGGUGGCGAAGGCGGCUUACUGGACGAUAACUGACGCUGAGGCUCGAAAGCGUGGGGAGCAAACAGG